AUUGAACGCUGGCGGCAGGCCUAACACAUGCAAGUCGAGCGGGUGAAGGGAGCUUGCUCCUGGAUUCAGCGGCGGACGGGUGAGUAAUGCCUAGGAAUCUGCCUGGUAGUGGGGGAUAACGUCCGGAAACGGGCGCUAAUACCGCAUACGUCCUGUGGGAGAAAGUGGGGGAUCUUCGGACCUCACGCUAUCAGAUGAGCCUAGGUCGGAUUAGCUAGUUGGUGGGGUAAAGGCCUACCAAGGCGACGAUCCGUAACUGGUCUGAGAGGAUGAUCAGUCACACUGGAACUGAGACACGGUCGAGACUCCUACAGGAGGCAGCAGUGGGGAAUAUUGGACGAUGGGCGAGUGCCUGAUCCAGCCAUGCUGCGUGUGUGAAGAAGGUCUUCGGAUUGUAAAGCACUUUAAGUUGGGAGGAAGGGCAGUAAGUUAAUACCUUGCUGUUUUGACGUUACCAACAGAAUAAGCACCGGCUAACUUCGUG
This 484-nucleotide ribosomal RNA is filed under the name uncultured bacterium. Its description in RNAcentral is "partial 16S ribosomal RNA". It matches the Rfam family "Bacterial small subunit ribosomal RNA", at positions 30 to 507 of the family's 1533-position model. The record is from RNAcentral.